UUAAAUUGAAGAGUUUGAUCAUGGCUCAGAUUGAACGCUGGCGGCAGGCCUAACACAUGCAAGUCGAACGGUAACAGGAAGAAGCUUGCUUCUUUGCUGACGAGUGGCGGACGGGUGAGUAAUGUCUGGGAAACUGCCUGAUGGAGGGGGAUAACUACUGGAAACGGUAGCUAAUACCGCAUAACGUCGCAAGACCAAAGAGGGGGACCUUCGGGCCUCUUGCCAUCGGAUGUGCCCAGAUGGGAUUAGCUUGUUGGUGGGGUAACGGCUCACCAAGGCGACGAUCCCUAGCUGGUCUGAGAGGAUGACCAGCCACACUGGAACUGAGACACGGUCCAGACUCCUACGGGAGGCAGCAGUGGGGAAUAUUGCACAAUGGGCGCAAGCCUGAUGCAGCCAUGCCGCGUGUAUGAAGAAGGCCUUCGGGUUGUAAAGU
Molecule: ribosomal RNA, 436 nt
Filed under: Escherichia coli
Lineage: Bacteria; Pseudomonadati; Pseudomonadota; Gammaproteobacteria; Enterobacterales; Enterobacteriaceae
Description: bacterial SSU rRNA
Rfam family: Bacterial small subunit ribosomal RNA
Source: RNAcentral